AAUCCAUGAUUUGGACAUUUUCUAAGAAGAAAUUUGUAUCUCUCCCAUGCUUCACAUAAGGACUCAUAUAUUUCUUGAGAAAAAGUAGCAAUAGCUAACUUGGCACC
This is a small nucleolar RNA of Vigna unguiculata (cowpea), 107 nucleotides long. Lineage: Eukaryota; Viridiplantae; Streptophyta; Magnoliopsida; Fabales; Fabaceae. The record is from RefSeq and is a predicted model, not a curated record.